Molecule: ribosomal RNA, 491 nt
Filed under: uncultured Issatchenkia
Lineage: Eukaryota; Fungi; Ascomycota; Saccharomycetes; Saccharomycetales; Saccharomycetaceae
Description: eukaryotic LSU rRNA
Rfam family: Eukaryotic large subunit ribosomal RNA
Source: RNAcentral
AAACCAACAGGGAUUGCCUCAGUAGCGGCGAGUGAAGCGGCAAGAGCUCAGAUUUAAAAUCGCCUCGGCGAGUUGUAAAUUGCAGGUUGGAGUCUUUGUGGCGGCGUGUGUCUAAGUCCCUUGGAACAGGGCGCCAUUGAGGGUGAGAGCCCCGUGCGGCACGCGCUUAAGCUUUAAGACCCUUCUGACGAGUCGAGUUGUUUGGGAAUGCAGCUCUAAGUGGGUGGUAAAUUCCAUCUAAGGCUAAAUACUGGCGAGAGACCGAUAGCGAACAAGUACUGUGAAGGAAAGAUGAAAAGCACUUUGAAAAGAGAGUGAAACAGCACGUGAAAUUGUUGAAAGGGAAGGGUAUUGGGCUCGACAUGGGGACUGCGCACCGUUGCUUCUUGUAGGCGGCGCUCUGCUGGAGCCUGGGCCAGCAUCAGUUUUCCGGCGAGGAUAAGAAGUUUUGAACCACAUUGUGGGGAUGAGUUUGAUGCUCGCAUGGGGGA